RNAcentral lists this long non-coding RNA (551 nucleotides) under Malus domestica (apple). RNAcentral describes it as "long non-coding RNA (MDOM_LNC017080)". Lineage: Eukaryota; Viridiplantae; Streptophyta; Magnoliopsida; Rosales; Rosaceae. The record is from RNAcentral.
ACUUUAUGUAAUUGCAUAAAAGGCCCAAACUCACCCCCCACUUGGGGUUGGCCGGUUUUAGUAGUGAAAAGGAGUGUGAAAGGGUUUUGGUGAAAAAUCAAAAAAAAUUUAAAAAAUUUAGUGCCAGUGGUUUAUGCAAGUGGUGAGGAUAAAGGUGAUGGGUAUAGAUUGUAAGAAAAUGUUUUGUGAAACAUUAAUGGCAUUUAUCAUCCCUCACCAAUAAUCCAUCACCCAUCAAACAUAAACCAAAACUUUAUGAAAAACACCAAACACUUUGAAUCAAAAUUCCCAACCUUUUUGUUCUUGGUAAGAAACUCAAGAACAUUGAAGAACACACAUGAAAACUCAUAAGAGCUCCAUGAAUGUUUUCACACAUUAAAACUCAAAUUUUCACUACACAAAAGAGGGUUAAUAUCCUAGGGUACUUAGGGGUUCCAAAAGUCACUUUAAAACCAUUUUACCAAGACAAUCAUGAACCCAAAAAUUCACCCUUUGGAUUUGGCCGAAUUUCCCAACAUACAUGGCACCAAAUUUUAGUUCCAAUAUUCAUG